RNAcentral lists this long non-coding RNA (203 nucleotides) under Vigna radiata. RNAcentral describes it as "long non-coding RNA (VRAD_LNC012641)". Lineage: Eukaryota; Viridiplantae; Streptophyta; Magnoliopsida; Fabales; Fabaceae. The record is from RNAcentral.
UCUCUCAAGGACCAACUGCGGUUCAGAAUCAAGUCAAACACGAAGGGGGGGGGUUGUGAAAGGUUUGCGUGGUGAAUGCGGAAAAAUUAAAAUGAAAUUAAAACAGUAAAAACGAAAAUUCACGCUGGAACAAGGCAGUUCUGACCUUUGCUCAAUGUUUUAACCAUAACUUUUUCUAUAGAGCUCUAAAUGAGAUGAGGUUU